This 408-nucleotide ribosomal RNA is filed under the name uncultured fungus. RNAcentral describes it as "eukaryotic LSU rRNA". The stretch from base 237 to 408 matches the Rfam family "Eukaryotic large subunit ribosomal RNA", at positions 1 to 170 of the family's 3401-position model. The record is from RNAcentral. Lineage: Eukaryota; Fungi.
GAGUGUCAUGGUAUUCUCAACCUUCAUAAUUUUUGUGUUCAAAAGUUAUUGAAGGCUUGGACUUGGAGGUUUGUGCUGGCUCUCUUAAUUGAAGUCGGCUCCUCUUAAAUGUAUUAGCGUGAACGUUUACGGAUCGCUAUCAGUGUGAUAAUUAUCUGCGCUGUUAGUGUUGAAGUAUCAUUUGGUGUCUCGCUUCUAACCGUCCUUUUGCAAGGACAAAAUUUUACUUUGACAUCUGACCUCAAAUCAGGCGGGACUACCCGCUGAACUUAAGCAUAUCAAUAAGCGGAGGAAAAGAAACUAACAAGGAUUCCCCUAGUAACUGCGAGUGAAGCGGGAAAAGCUCAAAUUUAAAAUCUGGCAGUCUUUGGCUGUCCGAGUUGUAGUCUGGAGAAGCGUCUUCCGUGC